This 433-nucleotide ribosomal RNA is filed under the name uncultured bacterium. Its description in RNAcentral is "partial 16S ribosomal RNA". It matches the Rfam family "Bacterial small subunit ribosomal RNA", at positions 29 to 507 of the family's 1533-position model. The record is from RNAcentral.
AACGAACGCUGGCGGCAUGCCUAACACAUGCAAGUCGAACGAGACCUUCGGGUCUAGUGGCGCACGGGUGCGUAACGCGUGGGAACCUGCCCUUAGGUUCGGAAUAACUCCCCGAAAGGGGUGCUAAUACCGGAUAAUGUCUUCGGACCAAAGAUUUAUCGCCUUUGGCUGGGCCCGCGUUGGAUUAGCUAGUUGGUAGGGUAAAAGCCUACCAAGGCGACGAUCCAUAGCUGGUCUGAGAGGAGGAUCAGCCACACUGGGACUGCGACACGGCCCAGACUCCUACGGGAGGCAGCAGUGGGGAAUAUUGGACAAUGGGCGAAAGCCUGAUCCAGCAAUGCCGCGUGAGUGAUGAAGGCCUUAGGGUUGUAAAGCUCUUUUACCCGGGAUGAUAAUGACAGUACCGGGAGAAUAAGCUCCGGCUAACUCCGUG